Molecule: ribosomal RNA, 501 nt
Filed under: uncultured bacterium
Lineage: Bacteria
Description: partial 16S ribosomal RNA
Rfam family: Bacterial small subunit ribosomal RNA
Source: RNAcentral
AUUGAACGCUGGCGGCAUGCCUUACACAUGCAAGUCGAACGGCAGCACGGGUGCUUGCACCUGGUGGCGAGUGGCGAACGGGUGAGUAAUACAUCGGAACGUACCUUAUCGUGGGGGAUAACGCAGCGAAAGCUGUGCUAAUACCGCAUACGCCCUGAGGGGGAAAGCGGGGGAUCGCAAGACCUCGCGCGAUUAGAGCGGCCGAUGCCUGAUUAGCUUGUUGGUGGGGUAAAAGCCCACCAAGGCGACGAUCAGUAGCUGGUCUGAGAGGACGACCAGCCACACUAGGACUGGGACACGGCCAAGACUCAUACGGGAGGCAGCAGUGGGGAAUUUUGAACAAUGGGGUAAACCCGGAUCAAGCAAGGCCGCGGGGGUGAAGAAGGCCUUCGGGUUGUAAAGCUCUUUGGUCAGGGAAGAAACACCGGCUCUAACACAGUCCGGGAAUGACGGUACCUGAAGAAUAAGCACCGGCUAACUACGUGCCAGCCGCCGCGGUAA